ACGAAGGGGGCUAGCGUUGCUCGGAAUCACUGGGCGUAAAGCGCACGUAGGCGGACUCUUAAGUCGGGGGUGAAAUCCUGGAGCUCAACUCCAGAACUGCCUUCGAUACUGAGAGCCUUGAGUCCGGGAGAGGUGAGUGGAACUGCGAGUGUAGAGGUGAAAUUCGUAGAUAUUCGCAAGAACACCAGUGGCGAAGGCGACACCCUGGGCCGUACCUGACGCUAAGACGCGACAGCACGGGGAGCGAACGG
Molecule: ribosomal RNA, 251 nt
Filed under: uncultured prokaryote
Description: partial 16S ribosomal RNA
Rfam family: Bacterial small subunit ribosomal RNA
Source: RNAcentral